This 729-nucleotide long non-coding RNA is filed under the name Callithrix jacchus (white-tufted-ear marmoset). RNAcentral's name for it is "lncRNA (ENSCJAG00000057558.2)". Lineage: Eukaryota; Metazoa; Chordata; Mammalia; Primates; Cebidae. The record is from RNAcentral.
AUGUCUAAAACUUCUUUUACUGAUCAUUUAAAACUAAGUUUCAUUUUCAUAAUGAAAUCACAUGAAGAACCACAAAAUACUGGCAACGCCCACUGCAGAAAGGAAGUGGGUUAUUUCCACCACUCACUAGCCUUUCUUUUCUCUUUUUUUUUCUCCCUUUUCCCCCACUCUCUCUGCCUCUCAACUUGCAAAGGAAACACUUGGGUAAAUCCUAUUUGGCCAAAGUCAAGUGCACUGAAGACUGCAUUUGUUUUUCGGGAAGGUGCUGAGAAUCUGUGUCACUCAAGGCUGGAAAUCCUGUAUGGAUUUGAUAUAAGGAGAAUAUUAGUCAUCCAGAUAUCACCAGGCCAUCAUCAGAACAGUGAGAUUUCUGCGAUCAUGACUAAAUCCAGUCACCGUUGAUGUUCUGCUGACAUUUGGUCAUUUGAAAGCCAAAGCUUUGCAAGAAUAAUUGGCAAUGUGAGAACAGAACACACUUCAGCAGCGUAAUUUGUAACUUUUAAGUAUUUGGGCAUACGGCAUAUAGGCCUCCAUUUCUCCUCCUGCCCCAUUGCGCAAAUGUUGGUGGCGGGCUGGAGUGAGUGGUACCCGGAUCCAGGUGUCGGGGGGGGGCGGGGGGGGCUCUCCCUUGGAGUCCCGCCGCGCAAGACUCCGGGGAGCGGUCCGGCAGGUCCCAGAGGCCCCGCCCCCGCCGCCCACCUCCUUGGGAAUUGGCUGCUCAGGUCCUAG